AUCCUUUUGUGGUUCAUAAUUGUGAUGAUUGGUUUCUACUCUAGUACAUGAAAUACACCCCCCUUAAACCUUGUCAUGAUACCAGCACAGUGCCCAUCCAACA
Small nucleolar RNA from Nycticebus coucang (slow loris), 103 nucleotides. RefSeq annotates it as small nucleolar RNA U13. The transcript has a single exon. The record is from RefSeq and is a predicted model, not a curated record. NCBI's taxonomy places the organism in Eukaryota, Metazoa, Chordata, Mammalia, Primates, Lorisidae.